Molecule: ribosomal RNA, 485 nt
Filed under: uncultured bacterium
Lineage: Bacteria
Description: bacterial SSU rRNA
Rfam family: Bacterial small subunit ribosomal RNA
Source: RNAcentral
GCUGGCGGCAGGCCUAACACAUGCAAGUCGAGCGGUAACAGAAAGAAAGCUUGCUUUCUUUGCUGACGAGCGGCGGACGGGUGAGUAAUGCCUGGGAAUAUGCCUUAGUGUGGGGGAUAACUAUUGGAAACGAUAGCUAAUACCGCAUAACGUCUUCGGACCAAAGAGGGGGACCUUCGGGCCUCUCGCGCUAAGAUUAGCCCAGGUGGGAUUAGCUAGUUGGUGAGGUAAAGGCUCACCAAGGCAACGAUCCCUAGCUGGUCUGAGAGGAUGAUCAGCCACACUGGAACUGAGACACGGUCCAGACUCCUACGGGAGGCAGCAGUGGGGAAUAUUGCACAAUGGGGGAAACCCUGAUGCAGCCAUGCCGCGUGUAUGAAGAAGGCCUUCGGGUUGUAAAGUACUUUCAGUCGUGAGGAAGGCAUUGUAGUUAAUAGCUGCAGUGCUUGACGUUAGCGACAGAAGAAGCACCGGCUAAUUCCGUG